Oncorhynchus keta (chum salmon) is the source of this 1243-nucleotide long non-coding RNA. RefSeq lists it as uncharacterized. Lineage: Eukaryota; Metazoa; Chordata; Actinopteri; Salmoniformes; Salmonidae. The record is from RefSeq and is a predicted model, not a curated record. The transcript is spliced from 3 exons.
CCUGUUGCACAAAAGUAGAAUUAAGACAUCCGGGAUAAAUGACUAAGCUGAGCUCAAUGAAGCCAAAACAUGUGCGUCCAGGCUUAAUUGGUUGCACAAAGACCAAGCCAGGAUGAGCAGACACGGAUUCAUUAAGCCAGGUGAAACCAAUCCUGGAUAGGUGCGCGCUCACGGCUCACUCAAAUAGACCCCGCCACAGAUCACAGAUUAACUGAUUUACCAUGGCAACUAGAGCCGCGUACUUUUCCCCGUCGGAAGCACAAAUCCUCAUGGAGGCAUACGAGGAGGUAAAAUAUAUAAUUAAGAAGAAAGGCAACACCGCCACAGUGAUAAAGCAAAGAGAAAAAGCGUGGCAAAGUAUUGCAGACCGCCUGAAUGCAUGGUCUGCAAUGCUGACUGUGUGAUCAGCAAUGUUGUGGCAAAAUGGCCUGGCUCAGUCCAUGACUCCAGAAUCUUUCGGGCCUCUGAAAUCUAUCAGUGCCUAUCACAAGGUGAAUUCUCUGGUGUGUUGCUGGGAGACAGGGGGUAUGGCUGCCAGCCUUUCUCCUGACACCUUUCACAGACCCCCAGGAAGCACAGCAGGCCUACAACCAUGCCCAUGCCAGGACCAGGGCCAGAGUUGAAAUGACCUUUGGCCUCCUGAAGGCACGCUUUCACUGCCUUCACAAAUUAAGGGUCAGCCCUGUUAGGGCAUGUGAUAUUACUGUGGCUUGUGCUGUCCUCCACAAUGUGGCCUGCCUGAGGAAGGAGAGGGCCCCCAGAGUGCCACCAGCCAUGGACUGGGACAAUCCGGCAAUCUUCCCUGAUGACGACAGUGGUCGGCUGCUGAGGGACCAAUAUGUGUUGAAUUAUUUUAGUUAGUAUGUGUGCUUUCAAUUUGGGUUAAAUAUGUCCUGCGGUGGCAGAGGAAUUUGGGUUUUUUUUGGGUUCGUUUUUUUACGAAUUUGGCCUCUUAUGAUGUUUGUGCGGUAUACUGUGUGUAAUACAAGGCUGCAGGGAGGCUACUGCAUCCAUUCAUUUGUCUGUUCAGUUGAUGUGUAUGGAUUUGUCCUGCAUUUAUUUUAGUGUGCAGAUAUGCAGGGUGUGUUAUAUACAGACCUUUGAAUGUGUAUGUAUCAUUUUGUAUAAUAUGCUUGGAUUCUGUGCUUUCCAUCUUGUAGAGUCACUGUGACUUCAGUUUCGAAAGGAGCUGAUGGUUUACCUGCUUUGUUUUGUCCUUAUUCAAUAAAGGAACAUAAUGUUA